Molecule: ribosomal RNA, 433 nt
Filed under: uncultured bacterium
Lineage: Bacteria
Description: partial 16S ribosomal RNA
Rfam family: Bacterial small subunit ribosomal RNA
Source: RNAcentral
AACGAACGCUGGCGGCAUGCCUAACACAUGCAAGUCGAACGAGACCUCCGGGUCUAGUGGCGCACGGGUGCGUAACGCGUGGGAACCUGCCCUUAGGUUCGGAAUAACUCCCCGAAAGGGGUGCUAAUACCGGAUAAUGUCUUCGGACCAAAGAUUUAUUGCCUUUGGAUGGGCCCGCGUUGGAUUCGCUGGUUGGUAGGGUAAUAGCCUGCCAAGGCGCCGAUCCAUAGCUGGUAUGAGAGGAUGAUCAGCCACACUGGGGCUGAGACACGGCCCAGACUCCUACGGGAGGCAGCAGUGGGGGAUAGUGGACAAUGGGCGAAAGCCUGAUCCAGCAAUGCCGGGUGAGUGAUGAAGGCCUUAGGGUAGUAAAGCUCUUUUACCCGGGAUGAUAAUGACAGUACCGGGAGAAUAAGCUCCGGCUAACUCCGUG